AACCACGGUCUUUUGCAUAUCAAUAAGCGGAGGAAAAGAAACCAACAGGGAUUGCCUCAGUAACGGCGAGUGAAGCGGCAAAAGCUCAAAUUUGAAAUCCCCCCGGGGAGUUGUAAUUUGAAGAUUGCGUCUUGGAGGCGACCGUGUCUAUGUUCCUUGGAACAGGACGUCACAGAGGGUGAGAAUCCCGUGCGGCACGGCCCCCGGCUCCUUAUAAGGCGCUCUCGACGAGUCGAGUUGUUUGGGAAUGCAGCUCAAAGUGGGUGGUAAAUUCCAUCUAAAGCUAAAUACAGGCGAGAGACCGAUAGCGAACAAGUACAGUGAUGGAAAGAUGAAAAGCACUUUGAAAAGAGAGUGAAACAGCACGUGAAAUUGUUGAAAGGGAAGGGCAUGCCGUCAGAUUGUCAGUGUGGGUAAGAAGCGGGGUACAAAGACUGUGGAACGUGGCCCUCGGGUGUUAUAGCCGCAGUUCAUGCCCCGUCUCUUUCCGAGGCCUGCUUUGAGGACACCGACGUAAUGACGGUACGCCGCCCGUCUUGAACCACGGACCAAAACCAUAAAUGGA
Molecule: ribosomal RNA, 565 nt
Filed under: Kodamaea ohmeri
Lineage: Eukaryota; Fungi; Ascomycota; Pichiomycetes; Serinales; Debaryomycetaceae
Description: partial large subunit ribosomal RNA
Rfam family: Eukaryotic large subunit ribosomal RNA
Source: RNAcentral